CCUUUACCCUCUGCCUUCUACGAGCUCCUAUCCAACUUCUUUUGGAAAAUGGCUUCCAAGUCCUUGGCUUCCACAUCCCUCCUCCUCGCUCUCAACCUCCUGUUCUUCACCUUGGUCUCUUCCACAAGUGUCCCCUGCCCACCACCUCCUUCUAAGCCUACGCCCACUCCCUCACCUUCUUCUGGAUCAAAAUGCCCCAUCAACACACUCAAGCUCGGUGUGUGCGCUAAGGUUCUUAACGGCCUGAUCAACGUCUCUCUCGGCAAGCCACCAAAGAAGCCUUGCUGCACCCUUCUUGAGGGCCUUGUGGACCUCGAGGCUGCCGUAUGCCUUUGCACUGCCCUCAAGGCCAGCAUCUUGGGCAUCAAGCUCAACGUCCCUGUCGACCUUAGCUUGCUUCUGAACUACUGCGGCAAGAAGGUCCCAGCAGGCUGGAAGUGC
This 441-nucleotide long non-coding RNA is filed under the name Elaeis guineensis (African oil palm). RNAcentral describes it as "long non-coding RNA (EGUI_LNC040266)". Lineage: Eukaryota; Viridiplantae; Streptophyta; Magnoliopsida; Arecales; Arecaceae. The record is from RNAcentral.